This 484-nucleotide ribosomal RNA is filed under the name uncultured bacterium. Its description in RNAcentral is "partial 16S ribosomal RNA". It matches the Rfam family "Bacterial small subunit ribosomal RNA", at positions 30 to 507 of the family's 1533-position model. The record is from RNAcentral.
AUUGAACGCUGGCGGCAGGCCUAACACAUGCAAGUCGAGCGGAUGAAGGGAGCUUGCUCCUGGAUUCAGCGGCGGACGGGUGGGUAAUGCCUAGGAAUCUGCCUGGUAGUGGGGGAUAACGUCCGGAAACGGGCGCUAAUACCGCAUACGUCCUGAGGGAGAAAGUGGGGGAUCUUCGGACCUCACGCUAUCAGAUGAGCCUAGGUCUGAUUAGCUAGUUGGUGGGGUAAAGGCCUACCAAGGCGACGAUCCGUAACUGGGCUGAGAGGAUGAUCAGUCACACUGGAACUGAGACACGGUCCAGACUCCUACGGGAGGCCGCAGUGGGGAAUAUUGGACACUGGGCGAAAGCCUGAUCCAGCCAUGCCGCGUGUGUGAAGAAGGUCUUCGGAUUGUAAAGCACUUUAAGUUGGGAGGAAGGGCAGUAUGUUAAUACCUUGCUGUUUUGACGUUACCAACAGAAUAAGCACCGGCUAACUUCGUG